RNAcentral lists this transfer RNA (142 nucleotides) under Cercospora zeae-maydis SCOH1-5. RNAcentral describes it as "tRNA-Val". Lineage: Eukaryota; Fungi; Ascomycota; Dothideomycetes; Mycosphaerellales; Mycosphaerellaceae. The record is from RNAcentral.
UCUUCAUUGGUCUAGUGGUUAUGGUAAGUCGAGACCAACGGUUUGAUAUACUAGGUGAAUCUCAUUCUUGCAACAGAUUUCCGCUUGUCAACACAUCGACUCACAAGCGCGGGAGACCAGGGUUCGAUUCCCUGAUGGAGAG